GUUUACAUUUACAAGUAUCCUUUACACAUAGUUUGAUCAAAUAAUACCUGUAAAAAAUAUUUGACCACCAAGUUUGUACAAACAGGUCAAUAAUCAGGACACUGAUAUGUUUGAUGUAUAAUUUCACAACAGGAAUAUAACUUGUUAAGAUACAUUUUAAGUAAGUGAACGAAAAGAGAGAGAAAAUAUUUGGGGAGUUCGAAUACAGUACAUUAAAAUCAAACAAUAUCAUGGCAAAAUAAUUGAAAUGAUUUAAGGAACAAAACAUUAAUCAAAGAGCUGAUAGCUCUGUGGUGGAAGAAGGUGAAUAAAAGGUAACUUGAAUUACCAUAAAAGCAGCCCCACUAACCCAGCCUGAUUUGUUCCAUUAUUGUUAUGACGUUUUUUUUUCUUCAAACAAGAAUGUGUCAUAAGUACAUGGAUUUCCCAUCCGUACAAUCAUUUUCUAUGUUCAGUGGACUGUGGAAAUUAAGUAAAAUCUUUAAUUUGGCAGUAAAAUUAGAAAAAUCAUAUCAUAAGGAACACAUGUGUACUUAGUUUCAAGUUGAUUGGAUUUCAACUUCAUCAAAAACUACCUCGACCAUAAACUUUAACCUGAAGCAGGAUGGACGGAUAGACCAAAAAACAUAAUGCCCAUAAAUGGGGCAUAAAAAUAGUAAGGCUUGUAACAUACCCUCCAACUUUUGAAAGUUCCCAUGGUUUUUUUUUAGUGCGCGACAACAAUUUUAAGGGUUACAAUUUUUAGCGAAGUAUUUACCACGAUCUGGAUUGUCUAGAAAAAGUGUCAUAUUUGUAUGAUGAACUUACAUGCCUUUUUCUUAAGUCUGUUUGCAUGAUUCUAGUUAUUAAAUCGGUAGAAAAGAUGAACAUGUAGCUAGCAGACGAGGGUUUAUUUUCUUGUGUAAGAAUAUUAGAUACUUGUUGAAAUGUCCAAUUUUGAAUUAUGCACAAAGAUUAACCUUUAACAGGUUGGGAACAACACUCCAAAUGAGGGGUAAUCCUCAUUGGAAGAACAUUACAACCCACUGUAAAAAAUGAGCACCUUUCUAUUCAUAUUAUUUGAUGAAACUUUUCCCCUAUGCAUCUAUCAAGUAUUAAAUGGUCAAAACAUGUCAAAAGAAUUUGUAAUGUUUCUAGACUAAUAUCUUCUUUAUUAAUUUGACCCCUCAUUUAGAAAAUAUGUACCAAUUAUAAUGAAUUUUCCCACUUUUGAGUUAAAAAUCUUUAAAAUUUUCUAUCUUUUUUAUCAACAGUGAAAUGACACCUUGUUUUAGGGACAGUCCC
RNAcentral lists this long non-coding RNA (1284 nucleotides) under Mytilus galloprovincialis (Mediterranean mussel). Lineage: Eukaryota; Metazoa; Mollusca; Bivalvia; Mytilida; Mytilidae. The record is from RNAcentral.